Molecule: ribosomal RNA, 254 nt
Filed under: uncultured bacterium
Lineage: Bacteria
Description: partial 16S ribosomal RNA
Rfam family: Bacterial small subunit ribosomal RNA
Source: RNAcentral
UACGGGGGGAGCAAGCGUUGUUCGGAUUUACUGGGCGUAAAGGGCGCGUAGGCGGUCAGCACAAGUCAGUUGUGAAAUCUCCGGGCUUAACUCAGAAAGGUCAACUGAUACUGUGCGACUAGAGUGCAGAAGGGGCAACUGGAAUUCUCGGUGUAGCGGUGAAAUGCGUAGAUAUCGAGAGGAACACCUGCGGCGAAGGCGGGUUGCUGGGCUGAUACUGACGCUGAAGCGCGAAAGCUAGGGUAGCAAACGGG